AGUGAACGCUGGCGGUAGGCCUAACACAUGCAAGUCGAACGGCAGCACAGUAAGAGCUUGCUCUUACGGGUGGCGAGUGGCGGACGGGUGAGGAAUACAUCGGAAUCUACUUUUUCGUGGGGGAUAACGUAGGGAAACUUACGCUAAUACCGCAUACGCCCUACGGGUGAAAGCAGGGGAUCUUCGGACCUUGCGCGAUUGAAUGAGCCGAUGUCGGAUCAGCUAGUUGGCGGGGUAAAGGCCCACCAAGGCGACGAUCCGUAGCUGGUCUGAGAGGAUGAUCAGCCACACUGGAACUGAGACACGGUCCAGACUCCUACGGGAGGCAGCAGUGGGGAAUAUUGGACAAUGGGCGCAAGCCUGAUCCAGCCAUACCGCGUGGGUGAAGAAGGCCUUCGGGUUGUAAAGCCCUUUUGUUGGGAAAGAAAAGCAGCAGGUUAAUACCCCGCUGUUCUGACGGUACCCAAAGAAUAAGCACCGGCUAACUUCGUG
RNAcentral lists this ribosomal RNA (492 nucleotides) under uncultured bacterium. RNAcentral describes it as "partial 16S ribosomal RNA". It matches the Rfam family "Bacterial small subunit ribosomal RNA", at positions 29 to 507 of the family's 1533-position model. The record is from RNAcentral.